UACGUAGGGGGCAAGCGUUGUCCGGAAUCAUUGGGCGUAAAGAGCGUGUAGGCGGCCAGAAAAGUCCGCUGUGAAAACUCGAGGCUCAACUUCGAGCUGUCGGUGGAAACUUUCUGGCUAGAGUCCGGAAGAGGAGAAUGGAAUUCCUGGUGUAGCGGUGAAAUGCGUAGAUAUCAGGAGGAAUACCGAUGGCGAAGGCAGGUCUCUGGGCUAUAACUGACGCUCAUGCAUGAAAGCGUGGGGAGCAAACAGG
Molecule: ribosomal RNA, 253 nt
Filed under: uncultured bacterium
Lineage: Bacteria
Description: partial 16S ribosomal RNA
Rfam family: Bacterial small subunit ribosomal RNA
Source: RNAcentral